Mesocricetus auratus (golden hamster) is the source of this 322-nucleotide long non-coding RNA. RefSeq lists it as uncharacterized. The transcript is spliced from 2 exons. The record is from RefSeq and is a predicted model, not a curated record. NCBI's taxonomy places the organism in Eukaryota, Metazoa, Chordata, Mammalia, Rodentia, Cricetidae.
UUUUUAGUGUGAGGAGGCCCUUCCUCUAGGCGGAGCAAAGCGAAGCGAGCUGCACUGAGGGACAGCCCACGGAUACCAUCGCCCCAUUCUUUCUCAGCCCUGGGAGAAAAAGAGGCAUAGUCAACAUAUACUAAGCAUGGGGAGCCUACUGUGAGACUGACCACCCUAAACCACAGAUGAUCCACAACACAGGCUGGUAGAGUUACUCACUUACCCCCCAACCUAUCCUGUAUCUAUUCAAAAGAACUAUGUGGAAUGUCAACUCAGAUUAAGAAAUUACUUGUAAUUGUGAUUUUGAAAAUAAUAAAAAAGUCUAAGGAAA